UACGUAGGUGGCGAGCGUUGUCCGGAUUUACUGGGCGUAAAGCGCGCGCAGGCGGUUCUGUAAGUCCUGGGUGAAAUCGCCCGGCUCAACUGGGCGGGGGCCUGGGGGACUGCGGGACUGGAGGGGCCUAGAGGCCGGUGGAACUCCCGGUGUAGUGGUGAAAUGCGUAGAUAUCGGGAGGAACACCAGUGGCGAAGGCGGCUUUCUGGUCUGCUCUUGACGCUGAGGCGCGAAAGCUAGGGUAGCAAACGGG
Molecule: ribosomal RNA, 253 nt
Filed under: uncultured bacterium
Lineage: Bacteria
Description: partial 16S ribosomal RNA
Rfam family: Bacterial small subunit ribosomal RNA
Source: RNAcentral